RNAcentral lists this ribosomal RNA (466 nucleotides) under uncultured bacterium. RNAcentral describes it as "bacterial SSU rRNA". It matches the Rfam family "Bacterial small subunit ribosomal RNA", at positions 338 to 795 of the family's 1533-position model. The record is from RNAcentral.
CCUACGGGGGGCAGCAGUGGGGAAUAUUGCACAAUGGGCGCAGGCCUGAUGCAGCCAUGCCGCGUGUAUGAAGAAGGCCUUAGGGUUGUAAAGUACUUCCAGUUGGGAGGAAGGCGUUGAUGCUAAUAUCAUCAACGAUUGACGUUACCAACAGAAGAAGCACCGGCUAACUCCGUGCCAGCAGCCGCGGUAAUACGGAGGGUGCAAGCGUUAUUCGGAAUUACUGGGCGUAAAGCGCACGCAGGCGGUUGAUUAAGUUAGAUGUGAAAUCCCCGGGCUUAACCUGGGAAUGGCAUCUAAGACUGGUCAGCUAGAGUCUUGUAGAGGGGGGGUAGAAUUCCAUGUGUAGCGGUGAAAUGCGUAGAGAUGUGGAGGAAUACCGGUGGCGAAGGCGGCCCCCUGGACAAAGACUGACGCUCAGGUGUGAAAGCGUGGGGAGCAAACAGGAUUAGAUACCCCUGUAGUC